Molecule: ribosomal RNA, 254 nt
Filed under: uncultured bacterium
Lineage: Bacteria
Description: partial 16S ribosomal RNA
Rfam family: Bacterial small subunit ribosomal RNA
Source: RNAcentral
UACGUAGGGUGCGAGCGUUGUCCGGAAUUAUUGGGCGUAAAGGGCUCGUAGGCGGUGUGUCGCGUCGGCCGUGAAAACCUGGGGCUCAACUCUGGGCGUGCGGUCGAUACGGGCAUCACUUGAGUUCGGCAGGGGAGACUGGAAUUCCUGGUGUAGCGGUGAAAUGCGCAGAUAUCAGGAGGAACACCGGUGGCGAAGGCGGGUCUCUGGGCCGAUACUGACGCUGAGGAGCGAAAGCAUGGGUAGCGAACAGG